Molecule: ribosomal RNA, 274 nt
Filed under: uncultured bacterium
Lineage: Bacteria
Description: partial 16S ribosomal RNA
Rfam family: Bacterial small subunit ribosomal RNA
Source: RNAcentral
AUACGGAGGGGGCUAGCGUUGUUCGGAAUUACUGGGCGUAAAGCGCGCGUAGGCGGUUUAUCAAGUUAGGCGUGAAAGGCCUGGGCUCAACCCGGGAAUUGCGCUUAAUACUGGUAGACUUGAGUCCGGGAGAGGGUGGCGGAAUUCCCAGUGUAGAGGUGAAAUUCGUAGAUAUUGGGAAGAACACCAGUGGCGAAGGCGGCCACCUGGCCCGGUACUGACGCUGAGGUGCGAAAGCGUGGGGAGCAAACAGGAUUAGAAACCCCGGUAGUCC